GACGGAGGAGGAGGAGGAGGAGGAGGGGGGAGCUGGCUGCUGGAAUGAUGCGUUUUCCUUUUUCCUGACAAGUUUCCCCGCGCUGUUCGGUGUGUCCGUCGUGUCCGCCGGGGUCGACUUUGCGCGUUUCUGCGCGGAGGCGCACGGAGCCUCGCCGCAGAAGUUGCUUGGGCACAAUACUGAGCGGUGACAGUGCGGCGAAGCGCGCGCGACGGGGAGAAGAGGGCACGGAGCGGCGCUGAGCUGCGUGUUGAGCGGCUGGAUUUACACCCGAGCAUCAUCAACAUCCCCGUGCCACGACGGGACCGAGGCUGCGGGAGGCGACACACUUCCAGGUUGUUUGCAGAAGCCCCGCGAGAGAAUUCCAGCUGCGUAAACUUGGCCAAAAUCGGGUGACAUUGCAGCCUCUGUGCGUGUGUGUGUGUGUGUCUCUCUCUCUGUUUGUGUGUGUGUGUGUGUGUGUGUGUCUCUCUCUCUGUUUGUGUGUGUGUGUGUGUGUGUGUGUGUGUGCGCGCGCCGGGCAGCCUGGAUGGAUAUGCGGCUCACCGAGGGAAUCUGAACAGCAAAAAAAAAAAAAAGGGGGAUUACUAUCAGCCCCUCUCCUAUUAUAACCUCAAAAUGGAUGCCGACAACAGGCUGUGGAGACACCACUGGAUUAGCGACCCCUGUGCUCGUCUGCUCGACUUCUGAGGGGCUCGGGCGUUCAAAGUUUCGGAUAGAUCGUCAAAGGCUGAAGGCGCAGCAUGCAGUCCGGAGCGAAGUCGCUCUCCGCAGGUGGCGGUGCGUCCCUCUGCUGCCUGCUGCUCCUCUGGCUCAUCUACUCCCAUCUGCUCAGAGAAGUAUGUUGUGCAGGGUCAGCCGGCGUAAUUCAUCUGGUUUAAUAGCCUCAUCAUGCCCACCAGUUCUGAGUCCUGCAGUGACGCACAUUAAAUCAGGGGAACAUUGUGAACUGUGGACUGCUGACAGCCUAUUCCAGGCAGAGAUAUUAAGAUAUUUGUGCUCCUGUGCUUUGGUGAUCCGCAGUGUGUCUGAUCGAAGCGCUGAUAUGUACAGCCCAGACACAUCGUUGCUCU
This 1073-nucleotide long non-coding RNA is filed under the name Scophthalmus maximus (turbot). RNAcentral describes it as "lncRNA (ENSSMAG00000022908.1)". Lineage: Eukaryota; Metazoa; Chordata; Actinopteri; Pleuronectiformes; Scophthalmidae. The record is from RNAcentral.